Drosophila obscura is the source of this 1778-nucleotide long non-coding RNA. RefSeq lists it as uncharacterized. Lineage: Eukaryota; Metazoa; Arthropoda; Insecta; Diptera; Drosophilidae. The record is from RefSeq and is a predicted model, not a curated record. The transcript has 2 exons.
UCGUAUUGUGUGUCUGUGUGUGUGGGGGGAAAACGGAUACGGACUUGACUUGUCUCGCUGACUUAGGGUCGGUCGAGACAUUGCCUGAACAUAAAUGCCUGAGCUUGUGGCUCACUCUAACCCCCAGAGGGGCUGUGUGCUCUCGGAUUACUUUUCAUUUUUGGCAUGGAUCUGUCCCAACAACAAAUCUGUCCCGAAAAGACACUGACUUUUGUCAAAGUACAAAUUGUUAUCUGCGCUGAGCCGCAGAAUCAUAAUUGAUACAGACAAUGCUCUCAUUUGUACUGUCACAGAUUUUCGGCUACUUUCGCUUAUUGGUUUGGUUUGCUUUGGCCGCCGCGGUGCUCUCUGGGGUUAUCAUGGGGUCUAAAAAUGCGAUUAAUAAAGCAAUUAUGCUGCGGCACUACUGUGAUGUCCGCUUGGGAUCUGAGUUCAUUGCCCAGCCAAAGGUUGCUCAUUGGGUGCUGAGAAUUCCUCAAAGCUGUGCCAUGUGCCAUAGACGAUUCCAUAUGAUAACCAUAAUUUUUGUCUAAUUAAAUAUUUCAGCGGCAACUCAAUUUCAUAAUUCAUUUCAAAAACUUCAAUAUGUGUCUAUGUAUAAUCUAUGCCCAAACAGAAGUCUAAAUUCUAAAAGUUACACAUGUAAAUUCUGUGCAACUGAUUUGAAUAUCCAAUUACAUGCGAAUUCGUGAUUUGUCGAAUAACAACAACAGAAAUGAAGAAGAAGAACUUUUGCGUGUUCGGCUGCUACCAAAAUGCAGCACUCAAUAAUAAUUGGCAAAGCGCCUCCCUCAUUGAUGGAAACCAAAUUGAAAUUCCAGCGAAAAGUGCCCCCAAAAUGGGGAAUUCACACAGAAUUCAAAACUCAAAUACGAUGUGCUGUUUGCCAUGUAUUUUCCAAAGUAAAGAGCGGCCCUGCUGCAGGUCUCUCUUACAGUGUUUUCUCUUCGCUUUCGAAAACACUCUCUUUACCCACAUAAAAUGCACCGAACGAAUGCCGGGUUUUGGCCGAGAGUGUGUGUGCGUGUGUGUGUGUGUGUGGGCCUUUACUACGUUCUCCUCUCGCGCGUAUCUCUCAGAUACAUUACUCUCUCUCUCUCUCUCACGAGUAGUAGUAGUAGUAGUAAAACAUGGCAUAUGCGGGGCCCCUAGCGUCGUGGCGGCCUUCUCCCUUCCAGUGCGCCGUUCCAGACGCGACCCAAGAGAGAUACAUUUCGGACCAACAGUGCUCAAUGCUCUACUCUCGCAGCGUUAUGUUGUUCGUGUUUGUUCGUGUCGUUUCCGCCGCUUCGAAUGCGACUCUGAGACCUGGCACUCGGCCGUAGACCGAAUAGUCCGAAUUUUACUCUCAAACUGUACGGUUUGACAGCAGCGCAGUUGAUAGCAGAAUAUCAGUAUCGCAGAGAGAGUGCAGAGAGGUGGCAGGCAGGGCAAGGCAGCGCGUCGUGUGUUUUCUUCUUUCUUCCUUCAACAAAAAAUCUGCCACACUGCCACAAAAAACAACAACAGUUGUUCCACAAAGAGAUAGAGAUAGAGAGAGAGUAUCCAAAAGUUUAAACAAUUAAAAGUGAGUGUUGGAAAAAGUGCAACAAAUAUCAGAAUAUCAGAAAAUAACACACAAAAAAACAGUCUGUGGGCUACAGUGCAAUACCAAAUCGAACACUAAACCAUUCCAACUAAAACUUGUUUAACUUUUGAUCCAAGUGCAAUAAACAAACAAAAAUCCACUACAAAAAAUCAACGAAACAUUUUUUGUGACGCUGUGUUCAUUGUUUUGC